Molecule: ribosomal RNA, 1573 nt
Filed under: Staphylococcus aureus
Lineage: Bacteria; Bacillati; Bacillota; Bacilli; Caryophanales; Staphylococcaceae
Description: partial 23S ribosomal RNA
Rfam family: Bacterial large subunit ribosomal RNA
Source: RNAcentral
GGUGAAAAGCACCCCGGAAGGGGAGUGAAAUAGAACCUGAAACCGUGUGCUUACAAGUAGUCAGAGCCCGUUAAUGGGUGAUGGCGUGCCUUUUGUAGAAUGAACCGGCGAGUUACGAUUUGAUGCAAGGUUAAGCAGUAAAUGUGGAGCCGUAGCGAAAGCGAGUCUGAAUAGGGCGUUUAGUAUUUGGUCGUAGACCCGAAACCAGGUGAUCUACCCUUGGUCAGGUUGAAGUUCAGGUAACACUGAAUGGAGGACCGAACCGACUUACGUUGAAAAGUGAGCGGAUGAACUGAGGGUAGCGGAGAAAUUCCAAUCGAACCUGGAGAUAGCUGGUUCUCUCCGAAAUAGCUUUAGGGCUAGCCUCAAGUGAUGAUUAUUGGAGGUAGAGCACUGUUUGGACGAGGGGCCCCUCUCGGGUUACCGAAUUCAGACAAACUCCGAAUGCCAAUUAAUUUAACUUGGGAGUCAGAACAUGGGUGAUAAGGUCCGUGUUCGAAAGGGAAACAGCCCAGACCACCAGCUAAGGUCCCAAAAUAUAUGUUAAGUGGAAAAGGAUGUGGCGUUGCCCAGACAACUAGGAUGUUGGCUUAGAAGCAGCCAUCAUUUAAAGAGUGCGUAAUAGCUCACUAGUCGAGUGACACUGCGCCGAAAAUGUACCGGGGCUAAACAUAUUACCGAAGCUGUGGAUUGUCCUUUGGACAAUGGUAGGAGAGCGUUCUAAGGGCGUUGAAGCAUGAUCGUAAGGACAUGUGGAGCGCUUAGAAGUGAGAAUGCCGGUGUGAGUAGCGAAAGACGGGUGAGAAUCCCGUCCACCGAUUGACUAAGGUUUCCAGAGGAAGGCUCGUCCGCUCUGGGUUAGUCGGGUCCUAAGCUGAGGCCGACAGGCGUAGGCGAUGGAUAACAGGUUGAUAUUCCUGUACCACCUAUAAUCGUUUUAAUCGAUGGGGGGACGCAGUAGGAUAGGCGAAGCGUGCGAUUGGAUUGCACGUCUAAGCAGUAAGGCUGAGUAUUAGGCAAAUCCGGUACUCAUUAAGGCUGAGCUGUGAUGGGGAGAAGACAUUGUGUCUUCGAGUCGUUGAUUUCACACUGCCGAGAAAAGCCUCUAGAUAGAAAAUAGGUGCCCGUACCGCAAACCGACACAGGUAGUCAAGAUGAGAAUUCUAAGGUGAGCGAGCGAACUCUCGUUAAGGAACUCGGCAAAAUGACCCCGUAACUUCGGGAGAAGGGGUGCUCUUUAGGGUUAACGCCCAGAAGAGCCGCAGUGAAUAGGCCCAAGCGACUGUUUAUCAAAAACACAGGUCUCUGCUAAACCGUAAGGUGAUGUAUAGGGGCUGACGCCUGCCCGGUGCUGGAAGGUUAAGAGGAGUGGUUAGCUUCUGCGAAGCUACGAAUCGAAGCCCCAGUAAACGGCGGCCGUAACUAUAACGGUCCUAAGGUAGCGAAAUUCCUUGUCGGGUAAGUUCCGACCCGCACGAAAGGCGUAACGAUUUGGGCACUGUCUCAACGAGAGACUCGGUGAAAUCAUAGUACCUGUGAAGAUGCAGGUUACCCGCGACAGGACGGAAAGACC